RNAcentral lists this long non-coding RNA (1085 nucleotides) under Piliocolobus tephrosceles (Ugandan red Colobus). RNAcentral describes it as "lncRNA (ENSPTEG00000017851.1)". The record is from RNAcentral. Lineage: Eukaryota; Metazoa; Chordata; Mammalia; Primates; Cercopithecidae.
GAAAAGUUAAAUAAAUUAAAACAAUUGAAUAGGUUGAAAGAAAAGAACAAUGAUAUGACAGCACGUGAACAAUGUUAUAAACCUAUAACAAGUGAAAAAAAAAAUGAAGUAGUUACACCGUCUUGUGUUAAUGAAGCCCAACAUAUUGCUGCUUAUACUACAAACAACAAAAAUAACAAAAAAAAGCUAAGUAGUAAAUAUAUUUUAAAACAAGCUAUUAAAAAAAUAUAUUUUAACAUAAAAAAUGUAUGUUAUCUUAACAAUAUACAUGAUAAAACGUUUUUAUUCAUAUUUUAUGUGAAUGACAGAAAGUUUAUUAUUUCUUCUUUUUAUAAAAAAAUAAAAAGUGUUUAUUAUUUAUAUAGAAAUGUAUUAUAUAUGGAGAUAAAUAAAAACAUAAAAAAAGAAAUAGCACUUAUUAAUCUUGUAUCUAAUAAUACAACGUAUUUUAAAAUUUUGAAGCAUAUGAUAAAGGUGAAUACUUUUUAUAUAAAAUAUUAUGUCAAAUUUUAUCUUAAUAAAUUAGUUUAUUCUUUUAAUCAAAAAAUGAUAAAUAUAUAUGAACAUUUGCAUAGAAACCCAGCAAAUAUAUAUGGGUGUUAUAUUGGUAAUUGUGUCAGUAGUUUGUGUCAAAGUAGAAAAAUUUAUGAUACGGAUAAUACCCAGAAUGAGGGACUUGUGAAAAAUAGUAUAAACAAUUGUUCACGUGAGUUUGUGCUUAAAACCGAUAGUAGUAGUGAGAGUAGUAGUGAGAGUAGUAGUGAUAGAAGUAGUGAUAGUAGUAGUGAUAGAAGUAGUGAUAGUAGUAGUGAUAGUUUUAGUGCUAGCGAAAGUAGCAGUAGCGAUAAAAAUAUAAAUAUUAAGUUAGUGAAUAUAUAUAUGAAUGGUAAGUUUUAUGUAUCUAUUCCUAUUGUUUUAACAUAUAAUAUAAUUAAAAAUAAUUUUUAUUUAAAUAAUUUGUUUUAUUUGAAUAGUGAAAAGAAAUAUAAUUCAAGCUAUUUAUCUACACUAAGCAGUAUUUAUAAUAAUAAUAUACAAUUUUUUCAAAAUAAUAAUUACACAUGGUUAAAUAAUGAAAAUAUUAU